Molecule: long non-coding RNA, 2002 nt
Organism: Carassius auratus (goldfish)
Lineage: Eukaryota; Metazoa; Chordata; Actinopteri; Cypriniformes; Cyprinidae
Source: Ensembl
AAGUGACAUGCCGGCUGCUUCUCUUCUCCUUCGCCUGGCUCGACUCUCUCUCUUCUUCAACUAAAUUGCCUCGCCCGGGGUCUCACUUCCGAAGCGUCUGAUUAGAAAAACGCGGCCUUGAUGCAUGCACUUUUAAUUUGCCCACAACAAGCGCGCACACACACACAUUUAUCCUCCCUAUAACCCUUCCAUGGAUUAGUCCAGAUAUGGCCAUAGCUAUCAGGGGUUCAAAUCAACUCCAAAGCCUCUGAAUUUAACAAAGCUUACUGUUGCAAUUACUGCGUCUGCUUUUUAGCUUUUCCUCGUUUUAUUGAGCGAAUCACGUUGUUGUUCGUAGGUCGUCACAGCGCAGAGGAGUUUAAUAUGUUAGCCUAGCCUGACCCUGGCAGCCCGCAUAUUGACUUAUUUUCCAAAUGUAGAGCGUGAAUGCAUAUGCUAAUAUGCUAACAGAACACAUGAGAGAUUCCUGCGUGAAAUGUUUUUAAUGAGCUGGAAAUUAGAGGGAUUUGGAGCACAUUUCCUUUGGUAAAGCUGUCGUGACAGUUUACUGUAGAUGCAGUAUGUGUGUUUGUGCUUUUUCCAUGCAGGGGUCCUGAAGAAGGUCAGGGAUGAAAUGGAGGUGACGGCAGCAGAAGACAAAGCCGCUACUGAUCUUGUGCCGCAAAGCACAGAGGUGGUGUGCCUGGAGUUUGGUUGGAGGGCUGCAUUCAGAGCCCUUGUUCCUCAGAUGGCUCACUGUGUGAAGGUGGUGCUGGAUGACGUUUGCAAUAAGAAUCUGCAGCAGGAGGAAGCCACACAUGCAUUGGGCUCUGCCGACAUCCUCGUCACCCCUGUUACCCAUAGUCAUGGCCCAGAAAGAGACUCUCCCAGGAUGGUGGCCAAGGUAACAUCAGUGGUUUAUAUAUUCAAUGAACAAUCCUAUUUUCUUAUGUUUAAAAAUGUAAUCUUAGCUGAAUAGAAGUAUAAGUUUCUUUCAAAAAGCGCAUUACUUACAAAAUUAAUUUAAUUAAAUUAUAACUUAUAGUCAACUAAUAUUUAAUAUGCUUAUUAGAGUAUGUUUAUUUUAAGCUUAGAAACAUGCUAUUGUCACACUCUGUCAGAAUAAAUUGUGUGUCAUGUUUCUUGUUCUUUGUCUGAGUUCUGCCAACCUUUAAGUAUCUUAUGGAUUAGGAUGCAUCUUCUCAGCAAUGCCAGGCAGCUCACUAGGUUUCGGAACAGAGUUGUAGAGGAAGGUAUUUGUGAUGCAUUUGCAAAUAUUUCUUUUCUCUUUUGAAAUACUUCAGUGGUUCACAGUGACAUGACAUGUCUGCUCGUCCUGAGCAGGCACCGUGGCUGCAGGAGCCUCUCUGGUCCUGUGGGGUUUGUUCUGCGGCCCAGUGUUUUGCCUCAUUUUAUCCCUCAUCACGGAGGUUCCCCGUCUGAGACGAGCUCCACUCGCUGCAGCUCAGGCAGAUUGAUGAGCCGUCACAGCCUCAAAGGACAGCCUCUGAGCUGUGAUAGGAUGCAGGUGUUUCGGCCCCUGCAUGCCUCCUGCACCUGCCCUUUUUUCUUGUUAAAAACAUGUCCACAAUAGACCAAAGUUUUGUAGAAUGAAACUUAAGCAAAGUUUACAAUGUACACACACACUUUCAUUUACAUUGCAUAUUGUGCAUUACCGUUGGAGGGUUUGGAAGGAAAAGGGUCAUUUAUUAUAAUUUUUAUUUCUUUUUUUGUUCUCUGAGGUCCACUUAUAAUGUUAUCAAUAUAUAUAUAUCUAUAUAUAUAUAUCUAUCUAUAUAUAUAUAUAUAUUUACAUAUUAUAUAUAUAUUUUUUAUUUUAUAUUUGUAUCGUUAUUUACAAUACUUGGUGGGUGUGGCUAAACAGGCAUCGAUGUAGAAGCAGGCGUUGAUUUUCUUCAGAAGAGGUGGAAGCGAAGGUUAUCCAAUCUGUUACAUCAUAAAGUGGCACAUUCCACAACCUGUCGUUUUGGCAGAUUGGCUUCAAUAUAAGUUGUUUUUAGAC